This 314-nucleotide long non-coding RNA is filed under the name Homo sapiens (human). RNAcentral describes it as "HSALNT0222543". Lineage: Eukaryota; Metazoa; Chordata; Mammalia; Primates; Hominidae. The record is from RNAcentral.
UGCAGGCUGACGGCAGCGCUGCCGAAAUCCCGGAUGCUCACGAAGCAGGUGAAGCUGCCCUCGUCCGCCACACGCACGCGCUGCAGCCUCAGGGAUGCGUUGCCCUGUGCCAGCAGGUCCGGGAAGAGGGCCGUGCGGUUGGCAUAGGCGCUGCCCUGGUCCUGGCCCUCAGCAAAGCUGUGCACCAGCUGUUUGGUAUCUGUCAGCUGCCAGAUGAGGUUGAGCUGUGCCAGGCUGAAGCCAGGCUCAGGGGAGAAGGAGCAGCACAGGGUGGCAUCGGUGCCCACCAGUGCCACCACUGGGUCUUCAGGGAC